AGUGAACGCUGGCGGUAGGCCUAACACAUGCAAGUCGAACGGCAGCACAGUAAGAGCUUGCUCUUACGGGUGGUGAGUGGCGGACGGGUGAGGAAUACAUCGGAAUCUACUUUUUCGUGGGGGAUAACGUAGGGAAACUUACGCUAAUACCGCAUACGACCUACGGGUGAAAGCAGGGGAUCUUCGGACCUUGCGCGAUUGAAUGAGCCGAUGUCGGAUUAGCUAGUUGGCGGGGUAAAGGCCCACCAAGGCGACGAUCCGUAGCUGGUCUGAGAGGAUGAUCAGCCACACUGGAACUGAGACACGGUCCAGACUCCUACGGGAGGCAGCAGUGGGGAAUAUUGGACAAUGGGCGCAAGCCUGAUCCAGCCAUACCGCGUGGGUGAAGAGGGCCUUCGGGUUGUAAAGCCCUUUUGUUGGGAAAGAAAAGCAGCAGGUUAAUACCCCGCUGUUCUGACGGUACCCAAAGAAUAAGCACCGGCUAACUUCGUG
Molecule: ribosomal RNA, 492 nt
Filed under: uncultured bacterium
Lineage: Bacteria
Description: partial 16S ribosomal RNA
Rfam family: Bacterial small subunit ribosomal RNA
Source: RNAcentral